This 253-nucleotide ribosomal RNA is filed under the name uncultured bacterium. RNAcentral's name for it is "partial 16S ribosomal RNA". It matches the Rfam family "Bacterial small subunit ribosomal RNA", at positions 524 to 776 of the family's 1533-position model. The record is from RNAcentral.
UACGUAGGGUGCAAGCGUUGUCCGGAAUUAUUGGGCGUAAAGAGCUCGUAGGCGGUCUGUCGCGUCGGAUGUGAAAACUCGGGGCUCAACCCCGGGCCUGCAUUCGAUACGGGCAGACUAGAGUUCGGCAGGGGAGACUGGAAUUCCUGGUGUAGCGGUGAAAUGCGCAGAUAUCGGGAAGAACACCCGUGGCGAAGGCGGCUCUCUGGGACGGUACUGACGCUGAGACGCGAAAGCGUGGGGAGCGAACAGG